This 465-nucleotide ribosomal RNA is filed under the name Vreelandella stevensii. Its description in RNAcentral is "partial 16S ribosomal RNA". It matches the Rfam family "Bacterial small subunit ribosomal RNA", at positions 338 to 795 of the family's 1533-position model. The record is from RNAcentral. Lineage: Bacteria; Pseudomonadati; Pseudomonadota; Gammaproteobacteria; Oceanospirillales; Halomonadaceae.
CCUACGGGGUGCUGCAGUGGGGAAUAUUGGACAAUGGGCGAAAGCCUGAUCCAGCCAUGCCGCGUGUGUGAAGAAGGCCUUCGGGUUGUAAAGCACUUUCAGUGGGGAAGAAAGCCUUGGGGCUAAUACCCUCGAGGAAGGACAUCACCCACAGAAGAAGCCCCGGCUAACUCCGUGCCAGCAGCCGCGGUAAUACGGAGGGUGUGAGCGUUAAUCGGAAUUACUGGGCGUAAAGCGCGCGUAGGCGGUCUGAUAAGCCGGUUGUGAAAGCCCCGGGCUCAACCUGGGAACGGCAUCCGGAACUGUCAGGCUAGAGUGCAGGAGAGGAAGGUAGAAUUCCCGGUGUAGCGGUGAAAUGCGUAGAGAUCGGGAGGAAUACCAGUGGCGAAGGCGGUCUUCUGGACUGACACUGACGCUGAGGUGCGAAAGCGUGGGUAGCAAACAGGAUUAGAUACCCUUGUAGUC